RNAcentral lists this ribosomal RNA (614 nucleotides) under uncultured Bacteroidota bacterium. RNAcentral's name for it is "bacterial SSU rRNA". It matches the Rfam family "Bacterial small subunit ribosomal RNA", at positions 39 to 648 of the family's 1533-position model. Lineage: Bacteria; Pseudomonadati; Bacteroidota. The record is from RNAcentral.
GCGGCAGGCUUAACACAUGCAAGUCGAGGGGUAACAGGAGGUGCUUGCACUUCGCUGACGACCGGCGCACGGGUGCGUAACGCGUAUACAAUCUACCUUUUGCUGAGGGAUAGCCCAGAGAAAUUUGGAUUAAUACCUCAUGGUAUGUAGUAAUGGCAUCAUUACUAUAUUAAAGGUUACGGCAAAAGAUGAGUAUGCGUUCUAUUAGCUAGAUGGUAAGGUAACGGCUUACCAUGGCGACGAUAGAUAGGGGCCCUGAGAGGGGGAUCCCCCACACUGGUACUGAGACACGGACCAGACUCCUACGGGAGGCAGCAGUGAGGAAUAUUGGACAAUGGGCGCAAGCCUGAUCCAGCCAUGCCGCGUGCAGGAAGACUGCCCUAUGGGUUGUAAACUGCUUUUAUACAGGAAGAAACACUCCCUCGUGAGGGAGCUUGACGGUACUGUAAGAAUAAGGAUCGGCUAACUCCGUGCCAGCAGCCGCGGUAAUACGGAGGAUCCAAGCGUUAUCCGGAAUCAUUGGGUUUAAAGGGUCCGUAGGUGGAUAAUUAAGUCAGAGGUGAAAUCCUGCAGCUCAACUGUAGAAUUGCCUUUGAUACUGGUUAUCUUGAAUU